Molecule: ribosomal RNA, 253 nt
Filed under: uncultured bacterium
Lineage: Bacteria
Description: partial 16S ribosomal RNA
Rfam family: Bacterial small subunit ribosomal RNA
Source: RNAcentral
UACGUAGGGUGCAAGCGUUGUCCGGAAUUAUUGGGCGUAAAGAGCUUGUAGGCGGUUUGUCGCGUCUGCCGUGAAAUUUCGGGGCUCAACCCCGAACUUGCGGUGGGUACGGGCAGACUAGAGUGUGGUAGGGGAGACUGGAAUUCCUGGUGUAGCGGUGAAAUGCGCAGAUAUCAGGAGGAACACCGACGGCGAAGGCAGGUCUCUGGGCCACUACUGACGCUGAGAAGCGAAAGCAUGGGGAGCGAACAGG